Molecule: ribosomal RNA, 468 nt
Filed under: uncultured bacterium
Lineage: Bacteria
Description: partial 16S ribosomal RNA
Rfam family: Bacterial small subunit ribosomal RNA
Source: RNAcentral
GACGAACGCUGGCGGCGUGCUUAACACAUGCAAGUCGAACGGAAAGGCCCUGCUUUUGUGGGGUGCUCGAGUGGCGAACGGGUGAGUAACACGUGAGUAACCUGCCCUUGACUUUGGGAUAACUUCAGGAAACUGGGGCUAAUACCGGAUAGGAGCUCCUGCUGCAUGGUGGGGGUUGGAAAGUUUCGGCGGUUGGGGAUGGACUCGCGGCUUAUCAGCUUGUUGGUGGGGUAGUGGCUUACCAAGGCUUUGACGGGUAGCCGACCUGAGAGGGUGACCGGCCACAUUGGGACUGAGAUACGGCCCAGACGCCUACGGGAGGCAGCAGUGGGGAAUAUUGCACAAUGGGCGGAAGCCUGAUGCAGCAACGCCGCGUGCGGGAUGACGGCCUUCGGGUUGUAAACCGCUUUCGCCUGUGACGAAGCGUGAGUGACGGUAAUGGGUAAAGAAGCACCGGCUAACUACGUG